CUUACACCCCCACCGGUCACCUUCUGUUUUUCUCUGUCUAGUUGUGAUGAAUCCUAAACUGAAAAUAGCUGGAAUUACCGUCAGAUUGUACAGUGGUGAUAUUCGGUUUUCUGAACAUGACUGAUUAUGAGUUUUCAUUUGCUUAUGAUUGUACAUUUUCACUCAAACGGUUUUACUUUUCAUGUAGGCUKCCUUCGCAUAACAUCCCUGCAGUCUCAGAAGUGGACAUGUAGACUGGGGUGUUCCUCGUCGGCUGUUUGAUGCCCCUUGAUUUCAGCACCCACCUACCUUUCAGGUGCACAUUCACCCAUCGCAAUUUAUAAGACACUUUUCUGUCUUUUAGUUUUGUUCAGUGGUGACAUUUACUUCUGAACAUAAGUUGUGUAAAUGUUAUACUGUGAAACUUACCCUAUUAAAGAAGUAUAACUGUAUAUGCCUUCAGCGUGUUCACGCCCUUUGACUCUAUUCCACAUUUUGMUACAGCAUGAAUUAYGUUGAAGUUGUCACUGGCCUACACACAAUACCCRGUGUCGGAUGAAUAUUUKAAAAUAUAUAUAUUUUAAAUGUGAACUUUAUGUAUUAACCCUUUUGUUAUGGAAGCCUAUAAAGUUACAAGUAAAAUUUGCCUAGUAAUUCAGAUUUAGCAUGGACUUGCUGUGUGCCAUYGCGUUUAAAAAAAUGUUUUUGCAUGACUACCUUAUCUCUACCCCACGCAAUUAUCUGUAAGGUCACUAAGUCAGGCGAGAAAUUCAAACAGACAUGGAGGUUUUCUAAGGCCACCUAAUGGUGGAGGGGGUAAAAUUGCUGUUAAAUAUCCCGUUAAGGYUGGUUAAUUUUUGCUUUGGAUGGUGACUCAAACUCAUUCACUACAAAGACACAGGUGUCUUAACACAGUUGCUGCAGCAGAAGGAAACCACUMGGUUUUCAGAAGCAAAUGUUGAUUUAAUGACAGACGAUCAGCGUUGUGGUGAAGCCUGUUGGCUARGAGCUUGAAAUAAACUUAAUCAUGUCACAAAUUUACUUGUCUGUUGAUCAAUGAAGGGUAGAUGGGGAUUUAGUCUGUGGCAAGUUAAUAUUUUUUUUAGUCAGACCAGCUGCAACACGAGCAAGGAAUGGGGUCGAGGCAACAAGGUUUGAGAAGAUCUCGGGGGCCAGAUGCCCGGAGGCCCACCACAGGGACUCGAAUCACUUUUUGUCACGUGCUGAAUAGUGAACAUUACCAUGAAAUGCUUACUUGCAAUCCCUUUACCAGCAAUGCAGGUAAAGUGACAAUGCGUGAAUAAACGGUGCUGGGAAGCAGCGUUAAAGGGAUCGAUGCAAAUAGUCCAGGUAGCCAUUUGUUUAGCAUUCUUGGGGGAUGUAGCCAUUUGAACCUGGACUUCGUGUGCUGGUGUAUUKGCGGAACAGUAUGACUUGGGUGGCUGGUGUCGGGCUUUUUUUUUUUUUUUUAGGGCAUUCGAAACCUCGUAUAGAGGUCAUAUUUUCCAAAUGGAGGCCGAGGGAGAGUUUUCUACCCAUCUGUAUGGAGUGAAGUUUUUURCCCCCGCUUAUUGCACGUGUGACAUACAGUUAGCAAUAGCAAUUGGGUAACGCAUUUCAGUUUGCCUGCAUUAAGGUCCCCGGKCCCUGGGCGCCCCUUCUGGAUGAGCCGUUUAACUUAUGACCGUAUACAACUCGUUGACUGCAGUCUUAGAGCCAGCAUCGGUUUGUGGUAUGUAGGCAGCUACAAAAAAUAUAUUUAACUCUUGGUAGGUAGUGUGGUGUCAAUGUAUCUGCCGGAAAAGUGAUAGAUGCAAAAAGUAAUAUUUAAAUGCAUGUGUAGAACCAAUAUUUAUUGACGCACUUAACAUGUACAGUGCCUUCAGAAUAUUCAAACACCUUGACAUUCCACAUUUGGUUGCUACUGCUGGUUUUCGCGUUGUCAUUUAUGGGGUAAUGUGUGUGGAUUGCUGAGGGGGAAAAUAUAUUUAAUCAUUUUUUGAAUAAGGCUGUAACGUAGCAAAAUGUGGAAAAAGUCAAGGGGUCUGAAUACUUUCCGUAGACACUAUCCCUUUUGUUAAAUCUAUGUUCUGCCAGUGUCUGCUAAAUUGAGUUAAUUCGAAUGUUAGACUCAAUAUUGGUGUCAGACUGCUGAAGAAACAAGGACCGCCAAGGGCAGUGUUGUCGUUUUUAUCGUGUGAAAAUUGGACUUCCUGGUGUUUUUAGAACACUGUUGUGAGAUUAGGAUGUCUGAGAAAUUUGUAGCCGAAAUACUGCUGAGAUAUGUAUCCAAUGACGAUGAUUAGAAGUAUGAUGCAUGAUCUGUUUAAUACAUCAUUGAUGUAAUGUCUCUUCAGGGUCACUGACUGUCGGGCAGGUUUAUUAUGGGGUUAUGGUAUCUAAUCACAUGUUCUGUGCACUUGGAUGAUUUGUAUGUAUAGUCUAUAAAAUCCCAAAGGAACUAGGCACGGAAGGAUGAAACGACGAACAGAUGAGGAAGAGUAUAUAUGCCCGCUUUACGUCUUGAGGGAGAGGAUUAUUACGAUACUUGUAGAAGUGUCGUUUUGGUCUCCCUGUGCACAGUUUGUAAUAAAAGUCGUAGAAACGG
Non-coding RNA from Salvelinus sp. IW2-2015, 2587 nucleotides. The record is from RefSeq and is a predicted model, not a curated record. NCBI's taxonomy places the organism in Eukaryota, Metazoa, Chordata, Actinopteri, Salmoniformes, Salmonidae.